UAGUUUKRWUYCUGGCUCAGRGCGAACGCUGGCGGCAGGCUUAACACAUGCAAGUCGAGCGGGCAUAGCAAUAUGUCAGCGGCAGACGGGUGAGUAACGCGUGGGAACGUACCUUUUGGUUCGGAACAACUGAGGGAAACUUCAGCUAAUACCGGAUAAGCCCUUACGGGGAAAGAUUUAUCGCCGAAAGAUCGGCCCGCGUCUGAUUAGCUAGUUGGUGAGGUAAUGGCUCACCAAGGCGACGAUCAGUAGCUGGUCUGAGAGGAUGAUCAGCCACAUUGGGACUGAGACACGGCCCAAACUCCUACGGGAGGCAGCAGUGGGGAAUAUUGGACAAUGGGCGCAAGCCUGAUCCAGCCAUGCCGCGUGAGUGAUGAAGGCCCUAGGGUUGUAAAGCUCUUUUGUGCGGGAAGAUAAUGACGGUACCGCAA
This 431-nucleotide ribosomal RNA is filed under the name uncultured Bradyrhizobium sp. RNAcentral's name for it is "bacterial SSU rRNA". It matches the Rfam family "Bacterial small subunit ribosomal RNA", at positions 9 to 483 of the family's 1533-position model. The record is from RNAcentral. Lineage: Bacteria; Pseudomonadati; Pseudomonadota; Alphaproteobacteria; Hyphomicrobiales; Nitrobacteraceae.